AUGGACACCGCUGUCGCGGUCGUGUCGCUCCUGUUUCUUCAGCUCCUAGUGACAGCACUGGCCGCUCCGAUCGCCUUGCCUGGCUGCCCGGAGACCUGCGGCGACAUCGCCGUCCCUUACCCAUUCGGCACCCGCGAAGGCUGCUUCCGCCAGGGCUUCGACCUCACAUGCGACGAGUCGCGCCAUCCACCGAAGCUGUCACUGGGCGGUGACCAUGGCGCGGAGGUGGUCGGCAUCUCGUUGCCGGACGGCACGGUGCGGAUCCGCACCAGGAUUCUCGACACGAGCUCCCUCCAGCAGCUCAACGGCACGUGGUCCGCCGGCCUGCGGCCCGGCGGGCCCCUGGCGUUGUCGGCCAGGCACAACCGCUUCGUCGCCAUGGGAUGCAACCUCCUCGCCAACCUCGUGGCGCACGACACGUAUACUCCGCCAGCGACCGCAUCGGCGUCUGCGCGGCGCUCUCCGAGGGACGCCUCCUCCGCCUCCUGCUCCGGCGUCGGCUGCUGCCAGACGCCCGUCGCGCGGGGCCUCUCGUCCUACACCAUCCAGCUCAACGACCUAGCCCAGCGACCUGCCGCUGCCGCUGCCUCCCCACUACUAGUGCACGCGGCAGCGUUCAUUGCUGACCAGAGGUGGUUCAGGGGCCAGCAGGACGCGCUGAAGAAGAACUUCCUCGACGAUCCGCGGAGGCUGGUCCAUUCGACGGUGGUUCCAACGGUGUUGGAAUGGUCGCUCCACGUGGACGCCGAUCAGGAUAUGUUCCUGUCUGAUCCCGGUGUCUCCGAGUGGAAGAGAUGCAUCAGCGUGAACAGCGUCAUUGUCGAGGCCGUCAAUGGAUAUGCUUUCAUCAGAGCACGGUGCAACUGCUCAAGAGGUUACGAGGGGAACCCCUACAUCGCCGAUGGAUGCCAAGAUAUCGACGAGUGCCUACAACCAGAAGCUUAUCCCUGCAAUGGUACCUGUAUCAAUAUGCAAGGGACAUACAGAUGCUCAGCAAAGAAAAGCAUCAUUAACUUAGCAGGUCCAUUUACCAUAACAGCAAUUGUUGUUGGUUUUGGCCUACUGUUUUCACUCCUAGGUGUUGCCCAAGUCAUGAAAAAACUCAAGAAACGAAGAGCCAAGAAGUUUAGACAAAAGUUCUUUAGGAAAAACCAUGGAUUGCUUCUGCAACAGUUGAUCUCUUCAAACAAAGAUAUAGCCGAAAAGAUGAAGAUUUUCAGCUUACACGAGCUAGAGCAAGCAACCAACAAAUUUGACCAUAAUCGGAUCCUUGGUGGCGGUGGGCAUGGCAUGGUGUAUAAAGGCAUCUUAUCUGAUCAACGUGUCGUGGCCAUCAAGAAGGCCAAAAAUGUCGUGCAGAGGGAAAUUGACGAGUUUAUAAAUGAGGUUGUCAUACUUUCACAGACAAACCAUAGGAAUGUGGUGAAGCUCUUUGGUUACUUCCUCGAGACAGAAGUUCCUCUACUAGUUUAUGAGUUCAUAUCAAAUGGAACUCUCUCGUCUUAUCUCCAUGGCCAACUUGAGAACCAUUUAUCAUGGAAAGAUCGAUUGAGGAUUGCAUUGGAAACUGCCAAGGCUAUUUCAUAUCUACACUCAGCUGCUUCCAUAUCAGUAUACCAUAGAGAUAUCAAAUCUGCCAAUAUACUACUUACUGAUACUUUAACAGCAAAAGUAUCGGAUUUUGGAGCUUCGAGGUCAAUUGCAAUAGAUGAAACAGGAAUACUUACAGUCGUCCAAGGAACCUAUGGUUACCUUGAUCCUGAAUACUACUACACUAGUCGACUGACGGAGAAGAGUGAUGUUUAUAGCUUUGGUGUCAUCUCAGCAGAGCUACUAACGGGGGUUACACCGGUUUUUUCUUCUCAUUCAUCGGAAGCCACAAGCCUAGCAUCACACUUUGUAUCACUAAUGAGAGACAAUUGUCUGUUAGCUAUUCUAGAUACACAAGUUGUUCUUGAAGGAGUAGUUGAAGAUGUUGAGGUGGUUGCAAGACUUGCACAUGCAUGCUUAAGCUUAAAAGGGGAAGAAAGACCUACAAUGAGGGAAGUUGAAACAAUACUUGAAGAUGUGCAGAGCUCAAAUAUCCAUCACAAUUCUCAGACAAUAAGAGUGAGCCAGAGUCCUCUGAAAGACCAGCCAUGGAAGGGGAACAAUGGUGGCGAAGGAACUAGAGUAUAUAGCUUGGAAAAGGAGUUCAUCCAUUCAUUGGAAAUUCCAAGAUGA
This 2223-nucleotide ribosomal RNA is filed under the name Triticum aestivum (bread wheat). Its description in RNAcentral is "partial small subunit ribosomal RNA". The record is from RNAcentral. Lineage: Eukaryota; Viridiplantae; Streptophyta; Magnoliopsida; Poales; Poaceae.